GAUGAAGAACGUAGCGAAAUGCGAUACGUAAUGUGAAUUGCAGAAUUCAGUGAAUCAUCGAGUCUUUGAACGCACAUUGCGCCCCCUGGUAUUCCGGGGGGCAUGCCUGUCCGAGCGUCAUUGCUGCCCUCAAGCACGGCUUGUGUGUUGGGCCUCCGUCCUCCUCCCGGGGGACGGGCCCGAAAGGCAGCGGCGGCACCGCGUCCGGUCCUCGAGCGUAUGGGGCUUCGUCACCCGCUCUUGUAGGCCCGGCCGGCGCUUGCCGACACAUCAAUCUUUUUUCCAGGUUGACCUCGGAUCAGGUAGGGAUACCCGCUGAACUUAAGCAUAUCAAUAGCGGAGGA
RNAcentral lists this unclassified non-coding RNA (344 nucleotides) under soil metagenome. RNAcentral's name for it is "partial contains 5.8S ribosomal RNA, internal transcribed spacer 2, and large subunit ribosomal RNA". The stretch from base 1 to 120 matches the Rfam family "5.8S ribosomal RNA", at positions 35 to 154 of the family's 154-position model. The record is from RNAcentral.